UACAGAGGGGGCAAGCGUUGUUCGGAAUUAUUGGGCGUAAAGGGCGCGUAGGCGGUCUGUCAAGUCGAACGUGAAAUCCCUGGGCUCAACCCAGGAACUGCGUCCGAUACUGGUUGGCUUGAAUCCGGGAGAGGGAUGUGGAAUUCCAGGUGUAGCGGUGAAAUGCGUAGAUAUCUGGAGGAACACCGGUGGCGAAGGCGGCAUCCUGGACCGGUAUUGACGCUGAGGCGCGAAAGCCAGGGGAGCAAACGGG
RNAcentral lists this ribosomal RNA (253 nucleotides) under uncultured bacterium. RNAcentral describes it as "partial 16S ribosomal RNA". It matches the Rfam family "Bacterial small subunit ribosomal RNA", at positions 524 to 776 of the family's 1533-position model. The record is from RNAcentral.